Molecule: ribosomal RNA, 561 nt
Filed under: uncultured bacterium
Lineage: Bacteria
Description: bacterial SSU rRNA
Rfam family: Bacterial small subunit ribosomal RNA
Source: RNAcentral
CCUACGGGAGGCAGCAGUGGGGAAUCUUAGACAAUGGGCGCAAGCCUGAUCUAGCCAUGCCGCGUGAGUGAUGAAGGCCUUAGGGUCGUAAAGCUCUUUCGCCUGUGAUGAUAAUGACAGUAGCAGGUAAAGAAACCCCGGUUAACUCCGUGCCAGCAGCCGCGGUAAUACGGAGGGGGUUAGCGUUGUUCGGAAUUACUGGGCGUAAAGCGCACGUAGGCGGAUUAGAAAGUUAGGGGUGAAAUCCCGGGGCUCAACCUCGGAACUGCCUCUAAAACUCCUAGUCUAGAGUUCGAGAGAGGUGAGUGGAAUUCCAAGUGUAGAGGUGAAAUUCGUAGAUAUUUGGAGGAACACCAGUGGCGAAGGCGGCUCACUGGCUCGAUACUGACGCUGAGGUGCGAAAGUGUGGGGAGCAAACAGGAUUAGAUACCCUGGUAGUCCACACCGUAAACGAUGAAUGCCAGUCGUCGGCAAGUAUACUUGUCGGUGACACACCUAACGGAUUAAGCAUUCCGCCUGGGGAGUACGGUCGCAAGAUUAAAACUCAAAGGAAUUGACGGA